GUGACUGUGCUGAGGGGGAACAGCCGCGUGAGGCACCUCCAGGACACCGGUGCUGUGGAGAGGAGAUGUAAAGGGUCAAGCGGUGCAUGAGACACACACAGAUCCCGGAAGCAUCUCAAGCAGCGUGGAUGAGGCAAGUGUCCUGGAGCUUGCUGGAGCAGCAGAAGUGGCCAGAAGAAAGAAGCUCUUGGUGCUGCUCUGAAAAUCCCUGUUUAGAAAGGAUUGAGAAGAUGGAAACUUGGAAGCCCCCAAUUAAAACGGGGCUAUAAGAAAAUGAUUUAUUUUCAGGAUCUGGAUGUAGGAAUUUCAAACAUCAGAGGUGGUUUGGGGCAGGCUGUAACAAGAAUUAUGUGUACAGUUCUUUAAUUAUUAAUCCCUUUUCACUGCUUGUUUAAAAUAUAUUUAUAUGUGACCUCAAUUAAACUUAUUAGUAUUUAAA
This is a long non-coding RNA of Empidonax traillii (willow flycatcher), 439 nucleotides long. RefSeq lists it as uncharacterized. The record is from RefSeq and is a predicted model, not a curated record. The transcript is spliced from 2 exons. NCBI's taxonomy places the organism in Eukaryota, Metazoa, Chordata, Aves, Passeriformes, Tyrannidae.